GGUGCCAUAGCAACAGGGGCGCCUGGCGGCCGACACAGCUUGCAUGCCACUAACAUACUUGUCUUGUCACAUACUGCAGUAGAUUGCCGCCCAUCCCCCACUCGGAACUCUAUCAUAGUGGAGCGGGAGCUGUCAGCUCAGCCGCUCCACCAUUCAUUCACCUUUCUCACACGCUGCUCCUCGCUUGCAGCGUGUGAGCCGUGGGGACGCAAUCUACGGCUGGCAGGAGCGAUGACAUCACAUUAUCGCGCCGGCACCCGGAAAUACGUCCCCACGGCUGGCACACUGAGAGCAAGCAGUAAGCUUAGGAACCAGCACCAAAGAAUAUCGUAUACGCUCAAGAAUAACGUGUGAAACGAAAGCUGUAAUAUAUUACACCACAUGUCAUUGCAUGAAAAUUUAUAUUGGGAUGACAUCACGAAAACUGAAGACACCACAAUUGUGACUACUCGCUAUUGAAAGUGAGGGGAAUCGAAUCAGUCGAUCUUGGAAUCAGGAGUGGUAACAUUGGAAAAACCCUUGCCCAGAAAGAAAGUCUAUGGAUCUGGACACCUUACAUCCAAAAGGCCUUAAUAUACUACCGUUCGCUCCAUUUCUCUGACUGUUUUGUCUCUUCCAAAGUAUAUAUGCCAUCUGAUCUAUCAUGCGGUGCCUUAUUACCUCCACAGUCGUCCAAGUGUCAUCCAGUCUCUGUUAUCCACAGCUGCAAAAGUGCCAUUCAUCCAUUGUCCUCUUCUUUUUAUAUAUAAUUAUGUUUGUCCAGCAUUUCGUGAUGUAUAGGUAAUUACCUUACUGUGUCCAUAAUAACACAUCCUUGCUUUACAACUUAGGAUGUACUUUUUAUAUUUAUACCUCAUAUUGUGGUAUAUCUAUUUGCUUAAUAUUACGUACAAGCUUUUCUUUUGUAAAUAAAUCUAAUAUAAACAUUAAUAAAGAAUUUUUG
Long non-coding RNA from Hyla sarda, 943 nucleotides. RefSeq lists it as uncharacterized. Lineage: Eukaryota; Metazoa; Chordata; Amphibia; Anura; Hylidae. The record is from RefSeq and is a predicted model, not a curated record. The transcript is spliced from 4 exons.